GUGUAGGUCCAGAGAUGAAGCGCAGGUCUGUGUGGGUCCAGAGAUGGUUAAAGUCCCGAAAGCGCAGGUUUGUGUGGGUCGAGAGAUGGUUAAAGUCCCGAAAGCGCAGGUCUGUGUAGGUCCAGAGAUGAAGCGCAGGUCUGUGUGGGUCCAGAGAUGGGUUAAAGUCCUGAAAGCGCAGGUCUGUGUAGGUCCAGAGAUGAAGCGCAGGUCUGUGUGGGUCCAGAGAUGGUUAAAGUCCCGAAAGCGCAGGUUUGUGUGGGUCGAGAGAUGGUUAAAGUCCCGAAAGCGCAGGUCUGUGUAGGUCCAGAGAUGGGUUAAAGUCCUGAAAGCGCAGGUCUGUAUAGGUCCAGAGAUGGUUAAAGUCCCGAAAGCAGGCAGGGGAGGUUCAUUCACGUCUCAUUCAAGAGCUUCGACUGUUUGGAAGAGGAAUUCCCAAGUUACGUUCGUCUGGACCGAAGCCAGUUCGAUCACCUGCUCCAGAUGGUUGGAGCCAGGAUCGCCCGGAUGGAUACCAACUACCGGGAGUCCAUCAGCCCAGUCGAACGCCUGGCGGUUUGUCUCCGGUAAAAUACAUUUUUAAAGCCUUUGAUACCAUAAUUUAUAUUUAAUAUAUUGUUGUUUUAAUGUGCAUCCUAGCUAGCUAAAGAGUUCUUUAGUUAAUUGUCCCUAUUUGACAUCAGAUGUACUUUUACAGAAUGUUCAUUAGGACUAUAACUUUUUCCCAAAGUUGGUUUAUAAUCCUUUUUUUAAUUAUGCAAUGUUACCCAAAUGAAAAGAAAGUUGGGGUGCCUUCUGCUCUGAUGAAG
Molecule: long non-coding RNA, 809 nt
Filed under: Salmo salar (Atlantic salmon)
Lineage: Eukaryota; Metazoa; Chordata; Actinopteri; Salmoniformes; Salmonidae
Description: lncRNA (ENSSSAG00000119887.1)
Source: RNAcentral